GUCCCCCGCCACCGGGAACCCUCCUUCUCCUGGGCUGGGAGAUCUGAGGGUUGAAGCUUUCCGACUCCGCCGGGCUCGCCCGUCUCUGCGGUUUGUUUCUCCUCCCGGCUCUGGAACGGGGCCAGGGAGCAGCCGACGCAGCCAGGGCCGUGAUGCAAACCCCGGGGUAAACACGCUGCCCAGAGCUGGGAGCGAAGGUGCUAAAAGUAGCUCAAGAGCUAAAGUUCAUCUUUCUUUAGCUGCCCUGCGAGGGCAGAGCACGAGCCGGGCCCGGCCUCGCUGGCAGCUCCGCACACCCCAAGAGCUGUACCCGAACUAGGGCUGCCCUAGAGCCACCCCACAACCGCCCCCCAUCUGCUGCCCUGACUCUGGGAGGCACCUGAACGGCCCUCGCCUGCACCCACCACACACACACCGGCUCCCGGGGCAAUGGGAACGGGGGAAUCACCAGAGAGGGCCCCGAAAGGACCGUGGCACCCCUUUUCCCUGCAGUGCCAGGAGCAGGAGGAAGCUACGAGGAAGCUGGGUGACCGGUGGCGUUGCACAGGUCACAUCAACAGCGUUAUCACCGGGGGGAGAGUCAGGGACUCAUGACAGACGCCACCCCGACACGCCACGGGAGCUGCCCCCACUCCCACACGCCCAUCGACAGCCCGACGAAAAACUGUUCUUCCUCCAACAAAGCAGGUCCCUGCUGCGGGCAGGCACGGCCAGAGUUCCCAGGAGGCUGUCGGGAGGACUUGGCUCCGCUCCCCUGGAGCGCUUUCAAAGCCAGCCCUGGAGGCGGAAAACCCAAGCAGCGAUGCAGAGAUUUGCGAAAGGAGAAGAGGGUGACGGCGCAGGGAGGCUCGGGGCCACCUCGCAGCCGCAGCCCCGAGUUCCCUGCUCAGCCCCCACCCCAAAGCUGGCCGUUCCUCGUCCCAGCAGCUCCCCAGGGUCCGUCCCGACACGUAUCCCCGCUGCAGGAGCUGUAACAUGGCCACCACCACCACCACCCCGGGCAGAGGAUGCCAGGGUGCACAUCCCUCCCGUCCCUGCCACCCACCCCUGCGCCGGCAGCUCCGACAAGACCCCCAGGGACCCGCAGAAGGGGCUGCAGCGGGGAGUGACGGUGACAGGGAUCACCUUCAGGGUGGGAAUGGGGUCACCUGCCCCAACACACACAGGGGC
This 1170-nucleotide long non-coding RNA is filed under the name Calidris pygmaea (Spoon-billed sandpiper). Its description in RNAcentral is "lncRNA (ENSCPGG00000002228.1)". Lineage: Eukaryota; Metazoa; Chordata; Aves; Charadriiformes; Scolopacidae. The record is from RNAcentral.